GUAGGUGAACCUGCGGAAGGAUCAUUCAUAAUAAGUGUUUUAUGGCACUUUUUUAAAUCCAUAUCCACCUUGUGUGCAAUGUCAGGGUUGGUCUCUUGAAAAAGAGAUCAGCCCCAAACAUCAACCCAAUCUUAACUCUUUGUCUGGAAAAUAUUAUGAAUAAAACAAUUCAAAAUACAACUUUCAACAACGGAUCUCUUGGCUCUC
This 207-nucleotide unclassified non-coding RNA is filed under the name rhizosphere metagenome. Its description in RNAcentral is "partial ribosomal RNA internal transcribed spacer region". The record is from RNAcentral.